CUACCUCUUCGUCUCUCACCAUCUCUCAGAGACCCCCCCGUUAGCCCCGCCCUAAACCACCGCCUGCCGCCUGCCGGAAAUCGCCUACGGUGGCAGCCGGCGUCCAAACACUACCAAGUUUACACCCCUGACUCCUCUCCACCUCUCCAUUCCAAACCCCCAAACCAUUUCCCUCGAAUCUCAGCCAAACCUUUCGAAUAUUAGUUCAAAAAUCGACCCCGAACCCUAACUUACCCAAUCACCCCCAAACUAACACCCCUUGACCACCACAACUCCCCCUUCCCAAAUCCAUAGCCAGCUUCCUUCGAAUAUGGUCCAAUCUGCUCGAAUCUUAAAAACAAGGGUUCGAGUCUUAAAAGCCAAAAUCCAAAAAAAUUGAUGCUCCAGUUCCUCAUAGGUUUAGGACCGAUUUUAUCACAAAAUAAGGUUAUUCACUUGUUCUUGACAAAGAACAAGUGAUUGACCUUAUUUGGUGAUUUAAAUCAGAGGGUCAGUCACAAAGUCGAUCCGAGCAGGUGAGUUCUUUCCUUUUUUUUUAUUUAUUUUUGUUAAAUUUUAUUCUGAUUGUCCAUCUCUUCCCCAUUUCUUUUAUUUUCUAUGGUUGAAUUCAGUUGAAAUUCGACCAUAUCCGCGGUUCAGAAUGUGUUAUGUUGUUUCAUUUGCUUUGUGAAUAGGUUCUUUGUUUCAUUAAUUGUAUUUUCAAUGUGUUUAAAUUUCCAGAGUCACAUCUUAGUCAAUGUAACUGGCAUUAAUUUGAGAAUUCGGGCAGUUUCUUGUUCAAUUGUGUAAAUAAUCAAUUUGAUUACUGUAAGUUAAUCCUCAAAAACUAUUUAAGUUGUCACCUAACUUGAGAAGCUUCUAAAUGGGUGGUAGGGUAGAAAUUGCAUUACUGAAUUAAUUAAAAGCACUAAACUAGUGGAUAAUUAAGAAAUGAAAAGCGGAACUGAUAGUGGUAAAUGCACUAAGUUGAAUGCUUAUAAAUAGAUACUGAGUUCAUACACAAGGAGGAGGAGAACAUGUUCUGAAAAAUACUGAAAAAUACAGAUUUUUAAGAGCUAAGAAGUGAGGAAAAUCAGAAUGGCUGAAAAACUUUAGAAAAAAACCACUGUUUCAUUGAGUCCUUUGGUAACUUCUGAAAUUUUCUGAGUGUUGAAAAAUUCCUGGUUAAAUGACAGUUGAAAUGGAUUAAGAUCAAUUCUGGUUUGAGGUUUUCUGGUUCACUAUUUGGACUAAAAUUGUUUUCUGGGAUAUCUUACUUCAUUUUCUGGUUUGAGCUGGUCUAACUGGUUGAUUCUGCUACCCUGAUGUUUCUGGAUAACAUCUUAUUUUGCUGGUUUUUGUUUGCUCAAUAUCAGGUACCUCUCGUAGCUUUUGAUUAAGGAAUGAUUCCUGGAGAUGUAAUUUGGUUGGAGUUAGUUAAAUGAAGGCUACAUUCAAGUUGAUGUCCCUGUUGCUAUACUAUUAUGUUUUUGUCAUAUUCUGUACUUAGGCUUUGAAUUAUAGACAUUAAUUAGUCUUUCUUUUCUAAAACUGUGUGUGUAAGAGUAACCCAUAGAGUAUUUCGCAUGUGUAUUGAUAAGUGGACUAUGGACUUUGAUUAUUUAGGUUCAUGUUUGAUUUUGAGUUUUGGAUCACCACUACUGUUAGUAUUCUGCUGAAAUUGCCAUGUUCUAGUCUUGAAAAGCUGGCUGUUGGCAUGUAUGUGUGUUGGUUUAUACAAAUGCAAUUUGGAAGUGCUAAUUACUACUUGACAGUUAAUCUGAGUUUUAGUAUUCAAAAGGAAAGCUCAUAUGUAGGUUGUUUUUUUUAGGAAACAUGACUAUAUCAGCA
This 1830-nucleotide long non-coding RNA is filed under the name Nicotiana tabacum (common tobacco). RNAcentral's name for it is "long non-coding RNA (NTAB_LNC013685)". Lineage: Eukaryota; Viridiplantae; Streptophyta; Magnoliopsida; Solanales; Solanaceae. The record is from RNAcentral.